GGUUUUUGGGGUGGGUGAUGAUGGGACGAUAGAUUUGUCAUCAGUGAAUUGAAGCGGGAGGAGAUAAUCAGGAUCGUCCCAGAUGCUGACCUCUUCAGGUAGGUCUUUAUCAAUCCAUGCAUGGUAUAGUUCCAUAUCACUCUCUACAUCACCCUCCAUGCCCAGAACUCCGUUUUUCUGCUUCAUUAACUCUAUUUUGGUGUUCAGUUCUUGCAGCAUAUUGUAGUUGAGCAUCUGAUAAUCUCUGUAGCUGUAAAUGGAGUAGAAGAUUUGAACCAAAGCCGCCAGCAGAAAGAAGGAUCUAGCGAGGAAGAUUUUGGAGUUGACC
This 328-nucleotide long non-coding RNA is filed under the name Zostera marina. Its description in RNAcentral is "long non-coding RNA (ZMAR_LNC000363)". Lineage: Eukaryota; Viridiplantae; Streptophyta; Magnoliopsida; Alismatales; Zosteraceae. The record is from RNAcentral.